UCAUGCAGAAUUGAAUUUUUCAAUAGGAAAACCUGUUAAUGAUACGUGGAACAAUUAUCCUGAUAAUUCUUUGAAUUCAAUGUCUUUACUCGACAAUAUUGUGCUAUUUUAUAAUGGAACCAGUACAUUAGUUAAUGAUCUUCCGGAAAUAUUGCCAAAUCAAGGUUUGGAACUUCCCAAAGAUUCAAGGAGAAUUUUAAAAACACCUUAUGAAAAGCGACUUAUAGACAGGAGCGUCAACUACAUCAAGUGUCAGUUAAUUUAUAUGUUUUGGUCAAAUACAUGUUUGUAUUUGCUCCUCCAAAAUUUGAAAGUCUGUGAUUCAAAAUUUCG
This is a non-coding RNA of Hydra vulgaris (swiftwater hydra), 333 nucleotides long. The record is from RefSeq and is a predicted model, not a curated record. NCBI's taxonomy places the organism in Eukaryota, Metazoa, Cnidaria, Hydrozoa, Anthoathecata, Hydridae.